This 247-nucleotide ribosomal RNA is filed under the name uncultured Pseudomonas sp. Its description in RNAcentral is "partial 16S ribosomal RNA". It matches the Rfam family "Bacterial small subunit ribosomal RNA", at positions 1137 to 1382 of the family's 1533-position model. The record is from RNAcentral. Lineage: Bacteria; Pseudomonadati; Pseudomonadota; Gammaproteobacteria; Pseudomonadales; Pseudomonadaceae.
ACUCUAAGGAGACUGCCGGUGACAAACCGGAGGAAGGUGGGGAUGACGUCAAGUCAUCAUGGCCCUUACGGCCUGGGCUACACACGUGCUACAAUGGUCGGUACAAAGGGUUGCCAAGCCGCGAGGUGGAGCUAAUCCCAUAAAACCGAUCGUAGUCCGGAUCGCAGUCUGCAACUCGACUGCGUGAAGUCGGAAUCGCUAGUAAUCGUGAAUCAGAAUGUCACGGUGAAUACGGUUCCCGGGCCUU